GAGUUUGAUCCUGGCUCAGGACGAACGCUGGCGGCGCGCCUAACACAUGCAAGUCGAACGGAGUCAAGAGGAGCUUGCUUUUCUUGACUUAGUGGCGAACGGGUGAGUAACGCGUGAGUAACCUGCCCUGGAGUGGGGGACAACAGUUGGAAACGACUGCUAAUACCGCAUAAGCCCACGGUGCCGCAUGGCACUGAGGGAAAAGGAUUUAUUCGCUUCAGGAUGGACUCGCGUCCAAUUAGCUAGUUGGUGAGGUAACGGCCCACCAAGGCGACGAUUGGUAGCCGGACUGAGAGGUUGAUCGGCCACAUUGGGACUGAGACACGGCCCAGACUCCUACGGGAGGCAGCAGUGGGGGAUAUUGCACAAUGGGGGAAACCCUGAUGCAGCGACGCCGCGUGGAGGAAGAAGGUUUUCGGAUUGUAAACUCCUGUCGUUAGGGACGAUAAUGACGGUACCUAACAAGAAAGCACCGGCUAACUACGUGCCAGCAGCCGCGGUAAAACGUAGGGUGCAAGCGUUGUCCGGAAUUACUGGGUGUAAAGGGAGCGCAGGCGGACCGGCAAGUUGGAAGUGAAAACUAUGGGCUCAACCCGUAAAUUGCUUUCAAAACUGCUGGCCUUGAGUAGUGCAGAGGUAGGUGGAAUUCCCGGUGUAGCGGUGGAAUGCGUAGAUAUCGGGAGGAACACCAGUGGCGAAGGCGACCUACUGGGCACCAACUGACGCUGAGGCUCGAAAGCAUGGGUAGCAAACAGGAUUAGAUACCCUGGUAGUCCAUGCCGUAAACGAUGAUUACUAGGUGUUGGAGGAUUGACCCCUUCAGUGCCGCAGUUAACACAAUAAGUAAUCCACCUGGGGAGUACGACCGCAAGGUUGAAACUCAAAGGAAUUGACGGGGGCCCGCACAAGCAGUGGAGUAUGUGGUUUAAUUCGAAGCAACGCGAAGAACCUUACCAGGUCUUGACAUCCGAUGCAUAGUGCAGAGAUGCAUGAAGUCCUUCGGGACAUCGAGACAGGUGGUGCAUGGUUGUCGUCAGCUCGUGUCGUGAGAUGUUGGGUUAAGUCCCGCAACGAGCGCAACCCUUAUUGCCAGUUACUACGUUAAGAGGACUCUGGCGAGACUGCCGUUGACAAAACGGAGGAAGGUGGGGAUGACGUCAAAUCAUCAUGCCCUUUAUGACCUGGGCUACACACGUACUACAAUGGCGUUAAACAAAGAGAAGCAAGACCGCGAGGUGGAGCAAAACUCAAAAACAACGUCUCAGUUCGGACUGCAGGCUGCAACUCGCCUGCACGAAGCUGGAAUCGCUAGUAAUCGCGAAUCAGAAUGUCGCGGUGAAUACGUUCCCGGGUCUUGUACACACCGCCCGUCA
RNAcentral lists this ribosomal RNA (1373 nucleotides) under uncultured bacterium. RNAcentral's name for it is "bacterial SSU rRNA". It matches the Rfam family "Bacterial small subunit ribosomal RNA". The record is from RNAcentral.